GGGUUUGUCUCAUGCCUCACUCUGCCAGGGAAGGUUUGUCUCAUGCCUCACUCUGCCAGGGAAGGGUUUGUGUCUUUUUCUCUUGCAUUUUGUGAAAUCUAAUGAUGCACUUAUGUUGCCCACUUUUCCCUUUUCUUCAUACCUUACCUACUAAAGGAGGGAAUGCCACUUUAUUGAAGCUGAGAAUGCUGACUGCUGUUUCUCCGGGAGCCCAGUCGACCAUGAUACUGCCACAACUGAGAGGAGGAGAGAACAAGGCCCACACUGCCCUCUACAGGGCCCCAGGAAGUACUGCUGCCCAGGCUGGAGAGGCCCUACAUGGGGAGGACAGGCAGACUACGGACCUGGGGUCGUCAGGGAGAUGGGGAGGUCACAGAGGUCACAGAGUCCAGGGGAAGCGCUCCCAUUCGCCGACUCACAGCAGUGACUCCGCCCACUCUCAACAUAACCUGCAUCCUCACAGAGAAAAGAGCUCUCACCAGAAGAAGACUAAAAGAUCCCACUCUUCCAAGCGUCACCGCCGUGGGGGUCGGGGACAGGCCCAUCACCAGAGGCUGUCUGCAUCCCCAGGGCGGCACCACCAUGCGUCUGGGUCAGGCACCAAGAAGAGUGAGUCUCGGGGGCGGGGCGGUGUCGGUGUCCGCCAGCGCAGCAGCUCCUGGAGCUCAGGACGGUCCUCAUCAUGCUCUGCCUCCAGAGAGAGAGCCCCCAGCAAGGCCAAGUCCCUCCACAUCCAUGCCAGACAGAACAAUUCCAGUUUUUCCGCUAAGGACAGAGAUAGUCCUCACCACUCUGACGCUGACCGUGCUCACCGUCGUUCCAGGAGCUACUCUCCCAUCAGGAAGAGGAGACGAGACUCUCCCAGCUUCAUGGAGGCUCGCAGGAUCACCAGCGCUCGGAAGCGGCCUAUCCCGUACUACCGCCCCAGCCCUUCCUCCUCCAGUUCCAUGUCAAGCCCCUCCCAUUCAGGGAGGAGUCGCAGCCGCAGCUACAGCUGCAGUCACAGCCACACCAGGAGCCACAGCCGCUCACGCAGCCCCAGGAGCCACAGCCGCUCACGCAGCCCCAGGAGCCACAGCAACUACAGUCGCAGCAGCUAUGAAAGCCCCGGCUUCUGAUGAGAGAGAGACAGAGAGAGGGGGAGUUGGGGGGGGAGAGAGAGAGAGAUAGAUGGGGGAGAACAGCAGGAGAGAUUGAGGGAGAGAGAGGGGGAGGGAGAUAAAUCAUGUUAUGCGUCCCUGAUUGGUCCAAACACAGGGUCAGACCUUCUCUGUUUUUUCUACCAUCCUCAGUCUCCAUCUCUGAAUACCAGCGUUAACCAGAGCCUGGAUCUGAAAUAUCCAUUUGUCUUCACACAGGCACAAUUUAAAAUAACAUUUUUCAGAUCAUGCUUUUAGAAAAUAAUUGAUAAAGAACUAUUCUGUAAGCACUUUCUCUAUAUGUUUCUGCAUAGCAAAAGUAAACCCCCC
This is a long non-coding RNA of Oncorhynchus tshawytscha (Chinook salmon), 1469 nucleotides long. NCBI's taxonomy places the organism in Eukaryota, Metazoa, Chordata, Actinopteri, Salmoniformes, Salmonidae. The record is from Ensembl.